GUCGGAAUGGCGGAAUGGUAGACGCAGGGGACUUAAACUCCCCCGGGAUUCCCGUGCCGGUUCGACUCCGGUUUCCGACACCC
RNAcentral lists this transfer RNA (83 nucleotides) under Myxococcales bacterium. RNAcentral's name for it is "tRNA-Leu". It matches the Rfam family "tRNA". From Rfam's summary of the family: Transfer RNA (tRNA) molecules are approximately 80 nucleotides in length. Their secondary structure includes four short double-helical elements and three loops (D, anti-codon, and T loops). Further hydrogen bonds mediate the characteristic L-shaped molecular structure. tRNAs have two regions of fundamental functional importance: the anti-codon, which is responsible for specific mRNA codon recognition, and the 3' end, to which the tRNAs corresponding amino acid is attached (by aminoacyl-tRNA synthetases). tRNAs cope with the degeneracy of the genetic code in two manners: having more than one tRNA (with a specific anti-codon) for a particular amino acid; and 'wobble' base-pairing, i.e. permitting non-standard base-pairing at the 3rd anti-codon position. The record is from RNAcentral. Lineage: Bacteria; Pseudomonadati; Myxococcota; Myxococcia; Myxococcales.